RNAcentral lists this ribosomal RNA (255 nucleotides) under uncultured prokaryote. RNAcentral's name for it is "partial 16S ribosomal RNA". It matches the Rfam family "Bacterial small subunit ribosomal RNA", at positions 523 to 777 of the family's 1533-position model. The record is from RNAcentral.
AUACGUAGGGGGCAAGCGUUGUCCGGAUUUAUUGGGCGUAAAGAGCGUGUAGGCGGCCAGGUAGGUCGGUUGUGAAAACUGGAGGCUCAACCUUCAGACGUCGACCGAAACCCCCUGGCUAGAGUCCGGGAGAGGAGAGUGGAAUUCCUGGUGUAGCGGUGAAAUGCGCAGAUAUCAGGAAGAACACCCGUGGCGAAAGCGGCUCUCUGGAACGGUACUGACGCUGAGACGCGAAAGCGUGGGGAGCGAACAGGA